GAUGAACGCUAGCUACAGGCUUAACACAUGCAAGUUGAACGGGAACAUACGAUAGCUUGCUAUAGUAUGUGAGAGUGGCGCACGGGUGAGUAAUACAUGGGAACAUACCUUGAAGUGGGGGAUAACUUCUGGAAACGGAUGCUAAUACCGCAUAUACCCUGAGGGGGAAAGAUUUAUCGCUUUAAGAUUGGCCCAUGGCAGAUUAGGUAGUUGGUGGGGUAAAGGCCUACCAAGCCGACGAUCUGUAGCUGGUCUGAGAGGACGACCAGCCACACUGGGACUGAGACACGGCCCAGACUCCUACGGGAGGCAGCAGUGGGGAAUUCUGGACAAUGGGGGCAACCCUGAUCCAGCCAUGCCGCGUGCAGGAUGAAGGCCUUCGGGUUGUAAACUGCUUUUGUCAGGGACGAAAAGGACCGUGUUAAUACCAUGGUCUGCUGACGGUACCUGAAGAAUAAGCACCGGCUAACUACGUGCCAGCAGCCGCGGUAAUACGUAGGGUGCAAGCGUUAAUCGGAAUUACUGGGCGUAAAGCGUGCGCAGGCGGUUCUGUAAGACAGAUGUGAAAUCCCCGGGCUCAACCUGGGAAUUGCAUUUGUGACUGCAGGACUAGAGUUCAUCAGAGGGGGGUGGAAUUCCAAGUGUAGCAGUGAAAUGCGUAGAUAUUUGGAAGAACACCAAUGGCGAAGGCAGCCCCCUGGGAUGCGACUGACGCUCAUGCACGAAAGCGUGGGGAGCAAACAGG
This 745-nucleotide ribosomal RNA is filed under the name uncultured bacterium. RNAcentral describes it as "bacterial SSU rRNA". It matches the Rfam family "Bacterial small subunit ribosomal RNA", at positions 28 to 776 of the family's 1533-position model. The record is from RNAcentral.